GUGUAGUGACCCGGUGGACGUCACAUCCGGGACCGAAGUGAGACGCAGACGCCAGGAGCGCACACUGGGAGGCAGCAGAACAAUCUGGAGACCUAGUGCACUGCAUAGUGUGAAGAUGGUGAAAACCAAAGCAUUCUAUUCUGGAGCCCGUUCAGCGUCACUUACCAAGAAAAUGUCUGCGGCAGUGCCACAGAUUCUAAAGAAGAAAGCAGAAAAGGAAAAUGUUCCUGUUGUCAAAGCCUCCAGGAGGGCGAGGGCCAAACAUGGUCUCCAGGACCCCCCAGCACUCCCGCUACUACCACCACCCGACAACCCACCCACCCACUUCAUGAUGCUGGCACAUCUGUAACGUCAAUAAUCCCACCACAGCCAGAAUCCGGCAAUCCACCUCCUCCCGAACUCCGAAGACUAAUGUCAUUGGCAAACACCCUGUUUGACUACAUUUAUCGUUCUUUGUAAAAAAUAUUUAUUCUUACUGUACAGUAUUUGCUGUUGUUCAAUUAGUGUAUUACAGUACAUCUUUAUCCCAGCCAAAA
Long non-coding RNA from Pseudophryne corroboree (corroboree frog), 536 nucleotides. RefSeq lists it as uncharacterized. NCBI's taxonomy places the organism in Eukaryota, Metazoa, Chordata, Amphibia, Anura, Myobatrachidae. The record is from RefSeq and is a predicted model, not a curated record. The transcript is spliced from 5 exons.